Long non-coding RNA from Anolis carolinensis (green anole), 6075 nucleotides. The record is from Ensembl. NCBI's taxonomy places the organism in Eukaryota, Metazoa, Chordata, Lepidosauria, Squamata, Anolidae.
AAAUAGAAAGACAUGUUAUCUGGAUUCUAAUUAAAAAUGGAUCACAGUUCUGAGUAAAAGAACUAGUGAAGAAGUGAUAUUUUUGUCCUUCAACAUUAAAUUCCAUGAGUCAUUGUUGCUUGCAUCUUGUUAUUAUGGACAGAUUAAACAUAUUGGCUAAACAUUUAUGUUGAGUCUGAGGCAACGUGUGUAAUAUAUCCUCCAUGUGCCCCAAUUGGGCAGGGACAGUCUCAAUAAAUCCUCAUUUUCAGCUGCUUUUAAAAUGUCCUAUGUUCGCCUCACCCCCUAUGCCUUCAUCUUGCUUGAAUUUCUGCAAACAGAGUUCAAAGUGCAAAAAGAGUUUACACUCAGUUAAUUGGGGGGAGGGGGUGGAGAGGAAGGGAGAGGAGUGAUGGUGGGAAUUAGGCAAAGGCAAACUCUCCUAGCCUGUGUGUUCUUCCUCAUCAGUAACUUUUGCCAUUUUGAGCUCACUCUGAAGUUGCUUGGCUGCAUAUUUCUAUUUUCAUCCAUGAAAUGAUGGAGGGUAUGCUGUUGCUUGCCAGGUACAAGAAGGGCAUCUGGCACCCAUGGCCGUCUCAUAUUACUUCUUCAAGAUGUGGACAUCCAUCAGGUCCAGUGUUACUAUAAGAUCUUCACCUGAAGGCAUCACCUGCAAUCGAGCAAAGCCAGCCUGCACCAAAAUCAGGCAAAGCAGAGAUAGUUCAAACAACAACAGAGAUUGUUGCAAAGAUGUCAUCAGAGAUACUGCUUUGAGUCCUUCAGAAAGAAAUUCAUCACCUGUGCAAAAGAGGGAUUCAUGCAGAAAGUCAAAGAGUUCUGUUCUUUCCAGAGUUAUGCUGAAAACUCCACCGAGGAGGCAGUCAAGUGUACAAACUCACAUGGGAGGGACAAUGUUAUAUGAUGUAUGGUCAUCAAGCCCAGAGGAUAUUAACAAGCAACAGGUCUCCAAAACAGAUGUUCCCCACUGUCAUACUGGUGCUUCUGUUGAAACUAUUUACAAGUCUCCUACCUUUCAGACCUUUGAUCCUUUGGCAGAUAAUACAGUGAACACCACAAAAUCGGCUCCACCUUCUGUACAGUUCUCUGGGCCUAGUGAAGCCAGCCUGCAAAAUGCCCACUACUUCAUACCAGCUGCUGGACAGAUAGCUGGUUGUCCCACAACACGGCCAGGCUCCUCCAGCUCUGUUGGGACAUCUUCCUCCUUUUCUAUUUUUUCCCCUGGAUCCGCAGUUCCGAACAACACACCACAGCCCCACUGUGAGCUUCCCCAUGGAUCAUCUUAUUUAUCUUCCCCACAAGAUCUUUACUUUAAAGACCUUAAGGAGAGGAUUGCAGAGUCCUUUUCUCCUUGCCCAGCAUCUGAUGGAGAUGAUAGUAGUAUCAUAAAUCAACAUUUUGAUAAUUCAAAAAGAAUUGAUGGAUUUAGAAGCAGAACAUUUCGUGCCACUGGUGAGAGCUGGGAAAACAAUGUAAUGCAAGAGACAUCUUCUUCACCAGCUCCUGGCACGCCGCCUCCUGCAAAUCGCCUUGAGGAAGACCUUCUUUAUAUAAGUGCUGAACCAAAAUGUAUAGCCAUUUUGGAAGAGAUUAAAAAUACAGUUUGUGGACUAAGAGGAGACUUCUCCAGUGCAACCCAGGAGCUGCGUGUUAUUAGUAAUAAGUUAACAAAUAUGGUGGCUUCUGUUCAAAAUAUGAACCAAUUCAUUGUCGCUCUCCAGACUGAUAUACAUGAGUCUGACCUAAUAUAGUUAUCCUAAUGGCCACUUCAUUAAAGUGCCAGAAAUUGUUUCUGAGUUGUGCCUCAGUAAUCUGUUUUAUAUUGCACAUCAGAUAUCCUAGUUUAGAGUUUGAAUGAACAGGUAUAAAAAUACAUAUAUGUACACACAAAAAUGUAAACACAUAUACAUAUAUAUUCACAUGUUAAAUUCUUGUUACCAAAUAUAAAUAGUUGUUUGUAUCAUUUAAUGUAGUUAACCUUUUAAAAAGAGAAUUGUUUAUUCUAAUUUGCUGAAUAUUUGAAAUCUGCAUGUCCAAGCUAAACUUAAAACAAAUAAAGCAUUAAUCUCAAAAGGCCCAAAGAGCAAUUAAAUACGUUUUCAGCAAACCUAGCCCACAUAUAGUCUUCUUGAAUGCCUUCACAUGACUUAAAAUUCCACACUAUCCAUGAAGCUAUUAGGAGGGAUAGAGUUUAGUAGGACAGUGACUACUUGUGCUUAGUAUUAAAGGACUUGAAAUAGAACUGUGCACAGUGUUUGUUUGAGACAAACAAUUGUACAAGAAAGCUACCUGGCAGCUCUGAAGUCAUGGAAACACGAUAGACAAAAUGAUAACCCUGCCUCAUUGAUUUCAGAGUCUCUACAGUGGAGAGCAAUAGUGGAAAUGCCAGUAGGAGAACUGUACUCUCUGAUUUCAAGUGACAGUUUAAAUGCUAUCUGAUAAAGAGCUUAGGGAAAAAGACUUGUGAGGCUUGCUGAGAAAUGCACGUAUAGUGUUAAAAAGUGUAGAUGGAAAUGACACAAACUAAUGGAAAAAACAGUGGCUAAUCUUAGUGACCCUGUCUGGGGGUUGAUAGAGAUGACUGCAGAUUCUGCACUUGGGAAAGUAGUGAGAGGUUUCUAGAGCAGAACUACUUAACUUUGGGUUUCUUUGAGGAAAAAAUCUAACUUCACAAUCAUUUUGCAAUUACUUGUUUUUUUGUUUUUUUAUAUAUUUAAGAAGACUAUGUGUUGAUGCAACCAGCAGGCAAACUCUUACAUGGCAGGAAAUAGUGCUUAAGAAAGUAAAUUUUCAGACUACUGCUCAACACUGACUGAUUCUGAGAGAUAAACACAAAGAAAAAAUGUCCCAUUAUUUGAAUCCUUCUAAUGGUGCAACUGGAAUGGUGUUGUAUUGUGGCCUCCUGAUGGGGGUGGGGUGAUCUAUAUUAAACAUCUGCAAUGGUGGCAAAAACUAUGCUGGGACAGAAAAGAAAAAGGGGGAAAUAAACCUCUUUUGUUUUUGAUUUUGAAUGUAUGGCCCUCCACAAUGUUACAAGUUUCAUCCACAAAAAGAUCUCUGUUCAAAAUUUAUUUCUUACACAUUUAUUCACAUAAACCAGAGGUGGGGUGGAAUUCCCAAAUUGACAUGGAAAUUGAUCUUCUUGUCUCCUUUAAACUGAAAGUGGCCCAGAGCCUUCACAAAGAGUGGUGACAUUGCCUCCAAAUCCCCUCAUAUGGCUUUGGGGGGCCGUGGAAGAGAGUGCAGACCACGAAGUUACAUGGGGGAUCAACGAAGAGAGGCAAUACGGCGCUCUAACUGUUGAUAUUUGCCCAACUCUGCCAUAGACAUUACCUUAAUAUUUUAGUUUUAGCAGUUUGCCUGGCAAAGGAACCAGCAAGCUAGUAGACUAAUCUACAGCAACAUUUAAAACACAAACGAAUGUAGGCAGUUUCCUGUACCCUUACUCCAACUCAAACUUUUCUUUACUGUUGCCAAAAAUGAAACAAUUUUGGCUUUCUCUUUUCUUUUUCUUGAUUUCACAUGUGAAUAUUCAUAGGAGGAAUUCUUUUGGUAAAUAUUUGGAUUCCACUGCCCAAAAAACAUAUUUGCGUUAAUCUUUCAGAUCUCACUAGUUUGCCCUAACAUCUCUGUCAAAUUUGCUUGUUGGUGAAAUACAGUUUGAGGAAUUAUAAUAUGCGAAGUUCUAGGUAGACUCUUUCACUUCUUUUUAAUAGCUGACUCCAAGCAACAUUUGAAAGUGAUUAAGAUCUAUUAAAAAUAAAAGCACUCUAACAAAAGAAUAAAUAAUGUGUGACAUUCUUGAUGGAAUAUUGUGUGUUUGUUUUCUGUCAUGACAAAUUAAUUUUAUACUUACUUAAAAAUACAUAGGGGCCCCUGGUGGCACAGUGUGUUAAAGCGCUGAGCUGCUGAACUUGCGGAUCAAAAGGUCCCAGGUUCAAAUCUCAGGAGCGGAAUGAGCACCUGCUGUUAGCCUCAGCUCCUGCCAACCUAACAGUUUGAAAACAUGCAAAUGUGAGUAGAUCAAUAGGUACUGCUCCAGCGGGAAGGUAACGGCGCGCCAUGCAGUCAUGUCGGCCACAUGACCUUGGAGGUGUCUAUGGACAACACCGGCUCUUCGGCUUAGAAAUGGAGAUGAGCACCAAUCCCCAGAGUCAGUCACGACUGGACUUAAUGUCAGGGGAAAACCUUUACCUUUACCUAAAAAUACAUAACAGUGGCUGAAAAUAUGGUAUGAAAAUAUGUGAUGACAAGAAAUGUGAAUUAGAUAUAGCAAUAGUUUCAUUUGUGUAAAAUUCAGAGCUUUACCCUGACAGAGCACAUUUGUGGCCAUUUGAAUGACAAUAAUAUUUGUGCACACUAGUUCUUCUGCUUUGACUUGGCAAUCAACUGGGUACAGGGGACACAUUUCUGAGUGUUCCUGUUUGUAAUCCCACAAAAACAAAGCACAGAACAGUUCCAUUUUAUAUCUACCUCUUGACCCUUGGAUUUAUAUUCUCUAGUAUAGCUUUAGAAUUCCAUUAACACAAAGAAAUCCUUUUGUGAUGAAAUUAUUCGGAGUUGUUCGGUUUUGCCAGCUGUACAACUGUAACCACACAAUGUUUGAGACCUCCAUCCCCAUUCAUUGGUUGUGAAGUGUGGCCCAGUAUGAACAACCUGAACUAGUGUGCACAAGUAGGUACUAGAUAUCUAUUUCUGCAAUGACUGAAAAAAGUACAUUUGUCAGUAUAUGACACCUGCAGCACUCUGGCCUAGAACUGUGUGUAUUGCAGUUGCCAUUCAUAAUUUCCCUACCUCAGGUCAAUUACCUUGCCUACUUGGAUUAAGGUAGGAAAAUAACCUUUUAACAGUAAGAAAAAGAGAAGUGCAGUAAUCACAAGAUAUAAGAGGAGUCCAAAGGAGACAAAGAUAGGUGUCACUUUUCUUGGGAACUGGAACAAAUAUGGAGCACCUCCAAUCUGCAGGCCACCGUUUCCACAUUUGUUGACCAUUUUUGUUAGAAAUGGAGUAGAUCCUGUCUCUGUAGUUUGAAGCAACUAUCUUGGUGUACUAUCUGGUGAUUUAUUUCUCUCAAGUGCCGUUAGUGCCGCUUCCACUUCAUUUUCUAAAAUUGUAGGUUCAAUGGUUUCCAUCCAUUGAAGCUCCCCUUUCUUUUUGGCAGCAGACAAUGCUUUUUUGCAUUCCUUCUUGACAAUAUCUCUGGCUUCAGUCCAGUUUUUUUUGGUUUCCAGUCAAUUAGACUUAAUAGUACAAAUCCAUUUGACAUCUUUAAAUUCUGUGGGGAUUUUAUCCUGGUUUUAGUUCUUCUUUAGUUUUAAUUUUGAUACCAGCAAGUUCAUGGUCUGUGCCACAAUCUCCUCCUGGUCUUAUUUCUGAAGAGAGAAUGGAGUUUCCAGUUAUGUGGUCUUAUUUAAUUUCUAUAUUGUCCACCAGACACUGUCACUGUAUCUUGUAGCUUCUUGGGUUACUUGAAGAAACUGCUAUGAAUGAUUUUUUCUAUCACCUCUGAACACAUCAACAGCUGAAAGUCUUUUCAACUUGUGUCAUUAGUGACCACACUACUUGUAGUCGUCCUCUACUUUACCCCAGUUGAGUGCCAUCUGCUGUAAGAGUCUUAAGUUCUGUUGCUCUCCUCUAUUUUAUUUUGGAAUGUUUUAUCAUAGGGAUUUCAUGGCAAAAGACAAAAGGGAUUUACCAUGCCUCCUCUGCACAGUGCUAAUAAUUGUUAGCUAUGGUGGCACUGCCCUUGUUUCAGAGACUCUACUCACACCAUAGUUCCCUUUACAGUUGUUCUUUACUCACAGGAACAUACAAUCCCACCACUGCUAUUAAAUGUCAGUACUGUGUCUAUUAAGAUUCUCUACAUGUGCAUACUCACAUUGUGUUUGUCUUAAGAAAACUGAAUAGAAAACACUGUUUACAAAUUAUAAAUGAAAAGUAAUGCAUCUUUUCAGAAUCCCAUUCUAUAGUAUUGAAUACUUUAUUCUUAAAAAAUUAAACUUGUAACACCGAAUGCAUUUUACAUUUAAUGUCGAAUAGUCAAUUACUAUAAUUAAUCUCAACCAACACACACUUACU